RNAcentral lists this ribosomal RNA (2908 nucleotides) under Escherichia coli 75. Its description in RNAcentral is "bacterial LSU rRNA". It matches the Rfam family "Bacterial large subunit ribosomal RNA". The record is from RNAcentral. Lineage: Bacteria; Pseudomonadati; Pseudomonadota; Gammaproteobacteria; Enterobacterales; Enterobacteriaceae.
GGUUAAGCGACUAAGCGUACACGGUGGAUGCCCUGGCAGUCAGAGGCGAUGAAGGACGUGCUAAUCUGCGAUAAGCGUCGGUAAGGUGAUAUGAACCGUUAUAACCGGCGAUUUCCGAAUGGGGAAACCCAGUGUGUUUCGACACACUAUCAUUAACUGAAUCCAUAGGUUAAUGAGGCGAACCGGGGGAACUGAAACAUCUAAGUACCCCGAGGAAAAGAAAUCAACCGAGAUUCCCCCAGUAGCGGCGAGCGAACGGGGAGCAGCCCAGAGCCUGAAUCAGUGUGUGUGUUAGUGGAAGCGUCUGGAAAGGCGCGCGAUACAGGGUGACAGCCCCGUACACAAAAAUGCACAUGCUGUGAGCUCGAUGAGUAGGGCGGGACACGUGGUAUCCUGUCUGAAUAUGGGGGGACCAUCCUCCAAGGCUAAAUACUCCUGACUGACCGAUAGUGAACCAGUACCGUGAGGGAAAGGCGAAAAGAACCCCGGCGAGGGGAGUGAAAAAGAACCUGAAACCGUGUACGUACAAGCAGUGGGAGCACGCUUAGGCGUGUGACUGCGUACCUUUUGUAUAAUGGGUCAGCGACUUAUAUUCUGUAGCAAGGUUAACCGAAUAGGGGAGCCGAAGGGAAACCGAGUCUUAACUGGGCGUUAAGUUGCAGGGUAUAGACCCGAAACCCGGUGAUCUAGCCAUGGGCAGGUUGAAGGUUGGGUAACACUAACUGGAGGACCGAACCGACUAAUGUUGAAAAAUUAGCGGAUGACUUGUGGCUGGGGGUGAAAGGCCAAUCAAACCGGGAGAUAGCUGGUUCUCCCCGAAAGCUAUUUAGGUAGCGCCUCGUGAAUUCAUCUCCGGGGGUAGAGCACUGUUUCGGCAAGGGGGUCAUCCCGACUUACCAACCCGAUGCAAACUGCGAAUACCGGAGAAUGUUAUCACGGGAGACACACGGCGGGUGCUAACGUCCGUCGUGAAGAGGGAAACAACCCAGACCGCCAGCUAAGGUCCCAAAGUCAUGGUUAAGUGGGAAACGAUGUGGGAAGGCCCAGACAGCCAGGAUGUUGGCUUAGAAGCAGCCAUCAUUUAAAGAAAGCGUAAUAGCUCACUGGUCGAGUCGGCCUGCGCGGAAGAUGUAACGGGGCUAAACCAUGCACCGAAGCUGCGGCAGCGACGCUGAUGCGUUGUUGGGUAGGGGAGCGUUCUGUAAGCCUGCGAAGGUGUGCUGUGAGGCAUGCUGGAGGUAUCAGAAGUGCGAAUGCUGACAUAAGUAACGAUAAAGCGGGUGAAAAGCCCGCUCGCCGGAAGACCAAGGGUUCCUGUCCAACGUUAAUCGGGGCAGGGUGAGUCGACCCCUAAGGCGAGGCCGAAAGGCGUAGUCGAUGGGAAACAGGUUAAUAUUCCUGUACUUGGUGUUACUGCGAAGGGGGGACGGAGAAGGCUAUGUUGGCCGGGCGACGGUUGUCCCGGUUUAAGCGUGUAGGCUGGUUUUCCAGGCAAAUCCGGAAAAUCAAGGCUGAGGCGUGAUGACGAGGCACUACGGUGCUGAAGCAACAAAUGCCCUGCUUCCAGGAAAAGCCUCUAAGCAUCAGGUAACAUCAAAUCGUACCCCAAACCGACACAGGUGGUCAGGUAGAGAAUACCAAGGCGCUUGAGAGAACUCGGGUGAAGGAACUAGGCAAAAUGGUGCCGUAACUUCGGGAGAAGGCACGCUGAUAUGUAGGUGAAGUCCCUCGCGGAUGGAGCUGAAAUCAGUCGAAGAUACCAGCUGGCUGCAACUGUUUAUUAAAAACACAGCACUGUGCAAACACGAAAGUGGACGUAUACGGUGUGACGCCUGCCCGGUGCCGGAAGGUUAAUUGAUGGGGUUAGCCGCAAGGCGAAGCUCUUGAUCGAAGCCCCGGUAAACGGCGGCCGUAACUAUAACGGUCCUAAGGUAGCGAAAUUCCUUGUCGGGUAAGUUCCGACCUGCACGAAUGGCGUAAUGAUGGCCAGGCUGUCUCCACCCGAGACUCAGUGAAAUUGAACUCGCUGUGAAGAUGCAGUGUACCCGCGGCAAGACGGAAAGACCCCGUGAACCUUUACUAUAGCUUGACACUGAACAUUGAGCCUUGAUGUGUAGGAUAGGUGGGAGGCUUAGAAGUGUGGACGCCAGUCUGCAUGGAGCCGACCUUGAAAUACCACCCUUUAAUGUUUGAUGUUCUAACGUUGACCCGUAAUCCGGGUUGCGGACAGUGUCUGGUGGGUAGUUUGACUGGGGCGGUCUCCUCCUAAAGAGUAACGGAGGAGCACGAAGGUUGGCUAAUCCUGGUCGGACAUCAGGAGGUUAGUGCAAUGGCAUAAGCCAGCUUGACUGCGAGCGUGACGGCGCGAGCAGGUGCGAAAGCAGGUCAUAGUGAUCCGGUGGUUCUGAAUGGAAGGGCCAUCGCUCAACGGAUAAAAGGUACUCCGGGGAUAACAGGCUGAUACCGCCCAAGAGUUCAUAUCGACGGCGGUGUUUGGCACCUCGAUGUCGGCUCAUCACAUCCUGGGGCUGAAGUAGGUCCCAAGGGUAUGGCUGUUCGCCAUUUAAAGUGGUACGCGAGCUGGGUUUAGAACGUCGUGAGACAGUUCGGUCCCUAUCUGCCGUGGGCGCUGGAGAACUGAGGGGGGCUGCUCCUAGUACGAGAGGACCGGAGUGGACGCAUCACUGGUGUUCGGGUUGUCAUGCCAAUGGCACUGCCCGGUAGCUAAAUGCGGAAGAGAUAAGUGCUGAAAGCAUCUAAGCACGAAACUUGCCCCGAGAUGAGUUCUCCCUGACUCCUUGAGAGUCCUGAAGGAACGUUGAAGACGACGACGUUGAUAGGCCGGGUGUGUAAGCGCAGCGAUGCGUUGAGCUAACCGGUACUAAUGAACCGUGAGGCUUAACCUUAC